Molecule: long non-coding RNA, 340 nt
Organism: Dendroctonus ponderosae (mountain pine beetle)
Lineage: Eukaryota; Metazoa; Arthropoda; Insecta; Coleoptera; Curculionidae
Exons: 2
Source: RefSeq, a predicted model, not a curated record
UAGGUCGAGAGUAAUGAAAGAACUUACUGAUCAGUAGCCAUUCUUGCAGGGAAUUUGGUGGAAAGUAGAAAUUUUACUAUUAACUAUUUAAGAUUCUAAAUUUCUUAUCAAAUGCAGGCAUAAAAUCUGCUAAUUGACUAAAGUUGAAGCAUACUAGACUUUUGAAGAAAUAAAUGAUAUUGUGGAAUAGAUAAUUAUUCCUAGAAUAUUCAAUGUUUUGCCACACACGACAACAAGGGGAAACCAGUUCGUUACUGGUGCCAAGAGUGGUACUCAACAGUACCGCAGGUAUGAAUCGAUCUGUACGAUUUUCAUGUAAUAGACAUCGACAUCGGAAAAA